GGUCCAAUAGUGUAGAGGUUAUCACACGGGAUUCUGAGCUGAACUAGCUCUACUUUCCCGUGACCCAGGUUCGAGUCCUGGUUGGACCU
This is a non-coding RNA of Rhodocollybia butyracea, 89 nucleotides long. The record is from the annotation of a GenBank genome assembly. Lineage: Eukaryota; Fungi; Basidiomycota; Agaricomycetes; Agaricales; Omphalotaceae.